UGGGGGAUAUUGCACAAUGGGGGAAACCCUGAUGCAGCGACGCCGCGUGGAGGAAGAAGGUUUUCGGAUUGUAAACUCCUGUCGUUAGGGACGAUAAUGACGGUACCUAACAAGAAAGCACCGGCUAACUACGUGCCAGCAGCCGCGGUAAAACGUAGGGUGCAAGCGUUGUCCGGAAUUACUGGGUGUAAAGGGAGCGCAGGCGGACCGGCAAGUUGGAAGUGAAAACUAUGGGCUCAACCCAUAAAUUGCUUUCAAAACUGCUGGCCUUGAGUAGUGCAGAGGUAGGUGGAAUUCCCGGUGUAGCGGUGGAAUGCGUAGAUAUCGGGAGGAACACCAGUGGCGAAGGCGACCUACUGGGCACCAACUGACGCUGAGGCUCGAAAGCAUGGGUAGCAAACAGGAUUAGAUACCCUGGUAGUCCAUGCCGUAAACGAUGAUUACUAGGUGUUGGAGGAUUGACCCCUUCAGCGCCGCAGUUAACACAAUAAGUAAUCCACCUGGGGAGUACGACCGCAAGGUUGAAACUCAAAGGAAUUGACGGGGGCCCGCACAAGCAGUGGAGUAUGUGGUUUAAUUCGAAGCAACGCGAAGAACCUUACCAGGUCUUGACAUCCGAUGCAUAGCUUAGAGAUAAGUGAAGUCCUUCGGGACAUCGAGACAGGUGGUGCAUGGUUGUCGUCAGCUCGUGUCGUGAGAUGUUGGGUUAAGUCCCGCAACGAGCGCAACCCUUAUUGCCAGUUACUACGAAAGAGGACUCUGGCGAGACUGCCGUUGACAAAACGGAGGAAGGUGGGGAUGACGUCAAAUCAUCAUGCCCUUUAUGACCUGGGCUACACACGUACUACAAUGGCGUUUAACAAAGAGAAGCAAGACCGCGAGGUGGAGCAAAACUCAAAAACAACGUCUCAGUUCAGAUUGCAGGCUGCAACUCGCCUGCAUGAAGUCGGAAUUGCUAGUAAUCGCGGAUCAGCAUGCCGCGGUGAAUACGUUCCC
Molecule: ribosomal RNA, 996 nt
Filed under: uncultured organism
Description: bacterial SSU rRNA
Rfam family: Bacterial small subunit ribosomal RNA
Source: RNAcentral